Molecule: ribosomal RNA, 253 nt
Filed under: uncultured bacterium
Lineage: Bacteria
Description: partial 16S ribosomal RNA
Rfam family: Bacterial small subunit ribosomal RNA
Source: RNAcentral
UACGAAGGGGGCUAGCGUUGCUCGGAAUCACUGGGCGUAAAGCGCACGUAGGCGGAUUGCUAAGUCAGGGGUGAAAUCCUGGAGCUCAACUCCAGAACUGCCUUUGAUACUGGCGAUCUUGAGUCCGGGAGAGGUGAGUGGAACUGCGAGUGUAGAGGUGAAAUUCGUAGAUAUUCGCAAGAACACCAGUGGCGAAGGCGGCUCACUGGCCCGGUACUGACGCUGAGGUGCGAAAGCGUGGGGAUCAAACAGG